RNAcentral lists this small RNA (126 nucleotides) under Marmota monax (woodchuck). Lineage: Eukaryota; Metazoa; Chordata; Mammalia; Rodentia; Sciuridae. The record is from RNAcentral.
GCUGGGUAUAGUGGCACAUGCCUGUACCCAGCAGCUUGGGAAGCUGAGGCAGGAGGAUCAUUGUGAGUUUAAAGCCAGCCUCAGCAAAAGUGAGAAGCUAAACAACUCAGUGAGACCCUGUUUCUA